This is a non-coding RNA of Cladorrhinum sp. PSN332, 89 nucleotides long. The record is from the annotation of a GenBank genome assembly. NCBI's taxonomy places the organism in Eukaryota, Fungi, Ascomycota, Sordariomycetes, Sordariales, Podosporaceae.
GGGCCGCUGGUCUAGUGGUAUGAUUCUCGCUUAGGGUUCACUCUAAACAUUGCUGCGAGAGGUCCCGGGUUCAAUCCCCGGGUGGCCCC